RNAcentral lists this ribosomal RNA (1962 nucleotides) under Rhinebothroides cf. freitasi LRP3929. RNAcentral's name for it is "SSU rRNA". It matches the Rfam family "Eukaryotic small subunit ribosomal RNA". The record is from RNAcentral. Lineage: Eukaryota; Metazoa; Platyhelminthes; Cestoda; Rhinebothriidea; Rhinebothriidae.
CUAUGGUUUAUUGGAUCGUACCCGUUAAAUGGAUAACUGUAAUAACUCUAGAGCUAAUACAUGCCUUGAUGCCCUGACUCCUUGUGGGAAAGGGUGCACUUAUUAGAUCAGAAGCCAACCGUGUAUGCCGCAAGGUGUGCGCGUUGUCCUUCUGGUGACUCUGGAUAAUUGUUACAGAUCGCAGUCGGCCUUGUGUCGGCGACGGGUCCUUCAAAUGUCUGCCCUAUCAACUGUCGAUGGUAGGUGACCUGCCUACCAUGGUGAUAACGGGUAACGGGGAAUCAGGGUUCGAUUCCGGAGAGGGAGCCUGAGAAACGGCUACCACUUCCAAGGGAGGCAGCAGGCGCGCAAAUUACCCACUCCCAGCACGGGGAGGUGGUGACGAAAAAUACCGAUGCGGGACUCACCAAAGAGGCUCCGUAAUCGGAAUGAGUGAACUCUAAAUCCUUUCACGAGGAUCAAUUGGAGGGCAAGUCUGGUGCCAGCAGCCGCGGUAACUCCAGCUCCAAUAGCGUAUAUUAAAGUUGCUGCAGUUAAAAAGCUCGUAGUUGGAUCUCGGUAUCACUGGGGCGUGCGGACGGGACCUUUGCCGUCGUCUGGCUGAGACAAAAUCGUCGAGGCUGCGGCGCCUUGGAACCUGAAGUAAUAGUCCUGGUGUCACCUUUCAGCCAUGUCUGUGGUGAAAUACCCGCAGGUGUAGGCGAGUGUCAGGCGGUGCUUUGCCUUAGUGUAAGGCCCGUCGGCUCGUUUGCAUGCCUUUGGAUGCACUUAAGUGUGUGUCCGAGGCGGAUGGCACGUUUACUUUGAACAAAUUUGAGUGCUCAAACCAGGCCGAUGUUGCCUGAAAAGUUUUGCAUGGAAUAAUGGAAUAGGACUUCGGUUCUAUUUCGUUGGUUUUCGGAUCCGAAGUAAUGAUCAAAAGAGACAGGCGGGGACGUUUGUAUGGCUGCGCUAGAGGUGAAAUUCAUGGACCGUAGCCAGACAAACUAAAGCGAAAGCAUUCGUCAAGCAUGUUUUCAUUGGCCAUGAGCGAAAGUCAGAGGCUCGAAGACGAUCAGAUACCGUCCUAGUUCUGACCAUAAACGAUGCCAACUGACGAUCCGUGGUGGUAGUAUUAAGACCUUCCCCACGGGCAGUCCCCGGGAAACCAUUAAGUCUUUGGGUUCCGGGGGAAGUAUGGUUGCAAAGCUGAAACUUAAAGGAAUUGACGGAAGGGCACCACCAGGAGUGGAGCCUGCGGCUUAAUUUGACUCAACACGGGAAAACUCACCCGGCCCGGACACUGUGAGGAUUGACAGAUUGAUAGCUCUUUCUUGAUUCAGUGGUUGGUGGUGCAUGGCCGUUCUUAGUUGGUGGAGCGAUUUGUCUGGUUAAUUCCGAUAACGAACGAGACUCCAGCCUGCUAAUUAGUGUGUCCGUCCUCUGUACCUGUGUAGGCGGCGUUCGACAAGGCUGCUAUCCGUUUGCUCGAGUUGCGGUGCUGCGCAAGUGGUGCUGUGACGAGGGUUAGGUGGCUGGCUGGCUCGACGUUAGCUUCCGGGCACGGCGCGGAUACCUACUUCUUAGAGGGACAAGCGGGAAAAGCCGCACGAAAUUGAGCAAUAACAGGUCUGUGAUGCCCUUAGAUGUCCGGGGCCGCACGCGCGCUACAAUGACGGUGCCAACGAGUCUGACCUUCUGGCCCGAAAGGGUUGGGUAAACUGGUCAAUCACCGUCAUGACAGGGAUCGGGGCUUGGAAUUGUUCCCCGUGAACGAGGAAUUCCUAGUAAGUGCAAGUCAUAAGCUUGCGCUGAUUACGUCCCUGCCCUUUGUACACACCGCCCGUCGCUACUACCGAUUGAAUGGUUUAGUAAGGUCCUUGGAUUGGCGCCAUUGUGGCGGUCGCCGAAAGGUAGCCGUCCGACGUGUGCUGAGAAGACGACCAAACUUGAUCAUUUAGAGGAAGUAAAAGUCGUAACAAG